RNAcentral lists this transfer RNA (56 nucleotides) under Varroa destructor (honeybee mite). Its description in RNAcentral is "tRNA-Ser". Lineage: Eukaryota; Metazoa; Arthropoda; Arachnida; Mesostigmata; Varroidae. The record is from RNAcentral.
AGAUUAAUAAAUAUAAGCUGCUAACUUAUAAAAAAUGAAUAGUUCAUUUAAUCUUU